This 76-nucleotide small RNA is filed under the name Xanthomonas campestris. RNAcentral's name for it is "sX9 sRNA". It matches the Rfam family "Xanthomonas sRNA sX9". RNAcentral also lists the same sequence under 4 other names. Lineage: Bacteria; Pseudomonadati; Pseudomonadota; Gammaproteobacteria; Lysobacterales; Lysobacteraceae. The record is from RNAcentral.
ACGUAUCACUCGUGCGCUGCGGUUAUGAGCGCGCCGUCCGCACACGCUGAAGACUGCUCGCCACGUUUUGUCAGCC